This 28-nucleotide small RNA is filed under the name Bombyx mori (domestic silkworm). Its description in RNAcentral is "ovarian small RNA-20034". Lineage: Eukaryota; Metazoa; Arthropoda; Insecta; Lepidoptera; Bombycidae. The record is from RNAcentral.
UACAAAUGCUGUUGCUGCGCUGAGUGCA